UUUACUGGCAGUAACUUUAUGUACACAUAUAUCACAAUCGGAUUGCAAAUCUUUUAGAGUUUUGCUGUAGCUUCCACCUUUAUGUUGACGUUUAGACCUCGCGGCAAAUUCAGCAUGCCAGAACUCUUGCCUCACUUGUAUCAUCCUCACAUUCUGCAGCACAUUGUCAAAGCAUACAUGCAAAUGUAUGUAUACAUAUACACACCACUUUUCGUUACAUAUGGAAUGUGCUUAUGCAUACAAUAAAAAGCAUACUCGUAUGUAGUGUUGCUAUUCAACUCAUUACAAACCCGGGAAUGCAUACGCAAAAUAUGGAACAGGCGCGAUCACAACCACAAACCGGCGAUUAAUCUUGGGAUAUUGCGCUCCUAAGUCAUUGAUAUUUCAUAACAAUCGUAGAUCUCAUUCUUUAUCACUGCAUUUUAAAUAUCUCAACUCUUUGGCGUUAUACGUAUUCAUUUUUUAGCAUUACAGAGAGCUACUUCCCAGCAAAAAACACGAUUACCACAGAAACGAAAGUGGAAACGAGCUAGGCGAUGGGAAUCGCUUACCCUUUCGCUUCAAGAAGGCCUUAUUUUAACAUGGGCAUGUCAUUGGCGGUAAGCCCUUACCCGCAGCAUUACCUUAAAACGAAGGGAGAACGCAUGGAUAAACAGAAUCCAGAGAAGCGAACAAAG
Molecule: long non-coding RNA, 677 nt
Organism: Rhagoletis pomonella (apple maggot)
Lineage: Eukaryota; Metazoa; Arthropoda; Insecta; Diptera; Tephritidae
Exons: 3
Source: RefSeq, a predicted model, not a curated record